AUUGCAGAUUCCGUGAAUCAUCGAGUCUUUGAACGCACAUUGCGCCCCCUGGUAUUCCGGGGGGCAUGCCUGUCCGAGCGUCAUUGCUGCCCAUCAAGCACGGCUUGUGUGUUGGGUCGUCGUCCCCUCUCCGGGGGGGACGGGCCCCAAAGGCAGCGGCGGCACCGCGUCCGAUCCUCGAGCGUAUGGGGCUUUGUCACCCGCUCUGUAGGCCCGGCCGGCGCUUGCCGAACGCAAAUCAAUCUUUUCCAGGUUGACCUCGGAUCAGGUAGGGAUACCCGCUGAACUUAAGCAUAUCAAUAAGCGGAGGAAUCUU
RNAcentral lists this ribosomal RNA (316 nucleotides) under Aspergillus flavus. RNAcentral's name for it is "eukaryotic LSU rRNA". The stretch from base 1 to 83 matches the Rfam family "5.8S ribosomal RNA", at positions 71 to 154 of the family's 154-position model. Lineage: Eukaryota; Fungi; Ascomycota; Eurotiomycetes; Eurotiales; Aspergillaceae. The record is from RNAcentral.